UACAGAGGUCUCAAGCGUUGUUCGGAUUCAUUGGGCGUAAAGGGUGCGUAGGUGGCGCUGUAAGUCAGGUGUGAAAUUUCGGAGCUUAACUCCGAAACUGCAUUUGAUACUGCGGUGCUUGAGGACUGGAGAGGAGACUGGAAUUUACGGCGUAGCAGUGAAAUGCGUAGAGAUCGUAAGGAAGACCAGUGGCGAAGGCGGGUCUCUGGACAGUUCCUGACACUGAGGCACGAAGGCCAGGGGAGCAAACGGG
Molecule: ribosomal RNA, 253 nt
Filed under: uncultured bacterium
Lineage: Bacteria
Description: partial 16S ribosomal RNA
Rfam family: Bacterial small subunit ribosomal RNA
Source: RNAcentral